This 208-nucleotide ribosomal RNA is filed under the name Clostridioides difficile. RNAcentral describes it as "partial 23S ribosomal RNA". It matches the Rfam family "Bacterial large subunit ribosomal RNA", at positions 2666 to 2876 of the family's 2925-position model. The record is from RNAcentral. Lineage: Bacteria; Bacillati; Bacillota; Clostridia; Peptostreptococcales; Peptostreptococcaceae.
GAAGACCUGUCCUUAGUACGAGAGGACCGGGAUGGACGUACCUCUGGUGUACCAGUUGUCCUGCCAAGGGCAUGGCUGGGGAGCUAUGUACGGAAUGGAUAAGCGCUGAAAGCAUCUAAGCGCGAAGUCAACUUCAAGAUAAGAUUUCCCACCGCAAGGGUAAGACCCCAGAAAGACUAUCUGGUUGAUAGGUCGAAGGUGUAAGUGC